UCAGAGACUGGUCACAUAGAUGGGUCAAAUAUGCUAAUAUAUUAAGGAUACUGAGAGCCAGAUUUCUCAUUGUCAGAGAAGGGAGUUACUAAUAUUGAAGUAGAGAAAAUGAAUAUGAACCUUGGGAUGUUAAACUGAAAUUGGAGAAUGUGCUCUAGAGAAUAUGCUCUACAAAAAAGGAGAGAGUAAGCCGAAUCAGAAGACAACCUGGGACACAAAAAAACGAGAUUCAACACAGGAGAGACAGAAAAAUGCUGAAGAGAUACCUGGGGCCACAGCUGUAGACUAAACAGAGGGGCAACCAGUCCAGAUUGGAACAGAAGAUUCCAAGCACCAAGUUUAGGACACAGUUAUUAAUAUCCAAGGAAAUAACCUUUUGUUCCUCAUCAAAAACAACUUUUCACAUCCAGACCAAAUAAAAAUGUUAACUCUCAAAAGUAUUUUGCCAAAACUUCAAAAUA
This is a long non-coding RNA of Neofelis nebulosa (Clouded leopard), 461 nucleotides long. RefSeq lists it as uncharacterized. The transcript has 3 exons. NCBI's taxonomy places the organism in Eukaryota, Metazoa, Chordata, Mammalia, Carnivora, Felidae. The record is from RefSeq and is a predicted model, not a curated record.